RNAcentral lists this ribosomal RNA (440 nucleotides) under uncultured bacterium. RNAcentral describes it as "partial 16S ribosomal RNA". It matches the Rfam family "Bacterial small subunit ribosomal RNA", at positions 338 to 795 of the family's 1533-position model. The record is from RNAcentral.
CCUACGGGGCGCAGCAGUGGGGGAUAUUGCACAAUGGGGGGAACCCUGAUGCAGCGACGCCGCGUGGGUGAAGAAGCGCCUCGGCGCGUAAAGCCCUGUCAGCAGGGAAGAAAAUGACGGUACCUGAAGAAGAAGCCCCGGCUAACUACGUGCCAGCAGCCGCGGUAAUACGUAGGGGGCAAGCGUUAUCCGGAUUUACUGGGUGUAAAGGGGGCGCAGACGGCGAUGCAAGCCAGGAGUGAAAGCCCGGGGCCCAACCCCGGGACUGCUCUUGGAACUGCGUGGCGGGAGUGCAGGAGGGGCAGGCGGAAUUCCUGGUGUAGCGGUGGAAUGCGUAGAUAUCAGGAGGAACACCGGUGGCGAAGGCGGCCUGCUGGACUGCAACUGACGUUGAGGCCCGAAAGCGUGGGGAGCAAACAGGAUUAGAUACCCUUGUAGUC